Molecule: non-coding RNA, 1961 nt
Organism: Cherax quadricarinatus
Lineage: Eukaryota; Metazoa; Arthropoda; Malacostraca; Decapoda; Parastacidae
Source: RefSeq, a predicted model, not a curated record
AAGCAAUGCAUGAGGCUCUGCUCUCUGCUAUUUCGAUUCUGAAGUGAAGUUCACACAGCUAACUCUCUAAACCAUCUAUUAUAAGGAGCAACAAACCGACAUCGGUUCUCUGGCUUAAAGAGGCAGCAGCAGGAUCAGAAGCAAUGCACGAUGCUCCUCUGCUGUCCGCCGUUUCCAUUCUGACGUGAAGUUCACGCAGCUAACACUCUAAACCAUCUAUUAUAAGGAGCAACAAACCGACAUCGGUUCUCUAGCUUGAAGAGACAGCAGCAGGAUCAGAAGCAAUCCACGAUGCUCCUCUGCUGUCCGCCGUUUCCAUUCUGAUGUGAAAUUCACGCAGCUAACACUCUAAACCAUCAAUUAUAAGGAGCAACAAAGGACAUCGGUUCUCUUGCUUAAAGAGGCAGCAGCAGGAUCAGAAGCAAUGCAUGAUGCUCCUCUGCUGUCUGCCGUUUCCAUUCUGACGUUAAGUUCAUGCAGCUAACUCUCUAAACCAUCUAUUAUAAGGAGCAACAAACUGACAUCGGUUCUCUAGCUUAAAGAGGCAGCAGCAGGAUCAGAAGCAAAGCAUGAUGAUCUGCUGCCGGCAAUCAUCAUCAUCAUCACCACCACCAGCAGCUAGCUAGCUAGCUAGCUAGCUAGCUAGCCAGCCAGCCAGCCAGCCAGCCAGCCAGCCAUCCAGGAGGCUACUGCUAUACCAGACUUGUUCCGGAAAGUUUCCGGCAGCCGUCCCCGGAGAGAUGAUGAUUCCCGCCGGCCGGAAGAUAUCCGAGGUAAAAGUACUGUAGCCGGGCCUCUGAGACGGGGAUUGCGCCAAUAGGUUAUUGGGUGUUUCCGGCCGGCCGACAUCUGGGCCUCCGGCAUGUGCCGGAGAUGUUCCGUUCAGUUGCCGUACGGACGUGGAGAAGAUGAAUUGCCUCCCCGUUUCAACGGGAAAAGCAGGUUGAGGUGGAAGGAGCGCAGCUCAAGUGAAACCAUGUCGCAACAGUCUCCUCUGCGUUUUGCUCCAACAGUUUGGAAGCUACAUUCAAAAAAAAAAAAAAACGACUGAGACUCCGAAAAUUUUCGACGAGGAUUGCCCGUUGAAAAGACACACUGCGAUGCAUGGUGUCCCGGAGACAUAUACACCAUUUUCUCACGAUCUGUAUAUAUAUAGGGAGACGGUGGUGCUUGCCGAUCCUCCAAGAGGUGGAAGAAAAAAAGCUGGGUUAACGGUGAUUGCUCGCCCUUGAGUGUAGCAGGUUGCCUUAGCUGUCUUCCAUCGGCCCAUCUGCUCCGGCCGGCCGGCAUCUGGGCCUCCGGCAUGUACCGGAGAUGUUCCGUUCAGUUGCCGUACGGACGUAGACAAGAUGAAUUGCGUCCCCGUUUCAACGGGAAAAGCAGGUUGAGGUGAAAGGAGCGCAUCUCAAGUGAAGCCAUGUCGCAACAGUCUCCUCUGCGUUUUGCUCCAACAGUUUGGAAGCUACAUUCAAAAAAAAAAAAAAAAACGACUGAGACUCCGAAAAUUUUCGACGAGGAUUGCCCGUUGAAAAGACACACUGCGAUGCAUGGUGUCCCGGAGACAUAUACACCAUUUUCUCACGAUCUGUAUAUAUAUAUAUAGGGAGACGGUGGUGCUUGCCGCUCCUCCAAGAGGUGGAAGAAAAAAAAACUGGGUUAACGGUGAUUGCUCGCCCUUGAGUGUAGCAGGUUGCCUUAGCUGUCUUCCAUCGGCCCAUCUGCUCCGGCCGGCCGGCAUCUGGGCCUCCGGCAUGUACCGGAGAUGUUCCGUUCAGUUGCCGUACGGACGUAGAGAAGAUGAAUUGCGUCCCCCGUUUCAACGGGAAAAGCAGGUUGAGGUGAAAGGAGCGCAUCUCAAGUGAAGCCAUGUCGCAACAGUCUCCUCUGCGUUUUGCUCCAACAGUUUGGAAGCUACAUUCAAAAAAAAAAAAAAAAACGACUGAGACUCCGAAAAUUUUCGA